Megalobrama amblycephala (Wuchang bream) is the source of this 1967-nucleotide long non-coding RNA. RefSeq lists it as uncharacterized. The record is from RefSeq and is a predicted model, not a curated record. The transcript is spliced from 2 exons. NCBI's taxonomy places the organism in Eukaryota, Metazoa, Chordata, Actinopteri, Cypriniformes, Xenocyprididae.
UCCUUAUAGCACAAAUAAAGUAUACUUAUAACGCACAUUAAGUACACUUUAAUAUCACUAAUCAAGCAUGUAAUUAGUCCCUAUACAGGCAUAUACUUAAAGUUGUGUUUUAAUACAGUUGUGUUUUAAUUACAACUCAAAUAUACUCAGUACAAAAUUAGUUGUUUCAAAAUAGCACACUUUAAGGUAAUUAAUCAUUAACACACUUGAAAUAUACUAAUAAUUAGUCUUGCUGCAAGUAUACUUAGCAUACUUUUUUUCACUAGGGUGUGAGCUUUAAUCCACGUGGCUAGUGCGCUGCGCAGAAACCGAUCAUGUGCGUGCUCCGCGUGUAUAUCAUAACAAUUGUAUUUUUGAUGUGUUCGUAUUCAAACUCCAGUUCUGACUGCAUUGCGGGCAAAAUACAAACACUCAUGUGCUGCUGUGCUGAGGGAAACAUACACAUGGCUCGCGUGUCCAAACGCAGAGGUGAAUGAACAGCACUUUGUGAAAUUUGAAUUAUCUGUAAUGCGAUCUCAUGCAAACGAAUUUUCCAUUUGUGCUGGUAGAUUACAGCAAAACAAUCCACCUGUACCCAAACUUCUGUUCUGGAUGCGUCACAGGAAAACGCAUUUUUGUUGUAGCACUGCGGAAACAAACAUACGACCCAUGUCUCUGAAUGACAAGAGACAGAGGUGAGAGAAGUGAUACUUCCACAUGCAUAUUACUGCAAUUAUAAUCUUAUGCAGACUACAGCGCAGUAAUCAGAUUAAAUGUGCUUUUUCUCAUGAAUAAAUGUAGAAAGUAUUGACAUCAGCAUGCACAUACACACACGUUUGGUGCUCUGUGACUUCAGAUCUCAGUGAUUUAUCACAUAAAAAUGUUUGCUUUAAGUUUGUAUUUUCUCUUUAAUAAUGGAUUCACUGCUAAACUGAUCUGAUCUGAUCUGAGAGAGUGAAGAGUGUGUCAUUGUUCUCUACAGGUUGUAUGAUUGUGGAGUCACAGAUGAAGGUUGUGCUGCUCUAACUUCAGCUCUGAGAUCAAACCCCUCACACCUGAGAGAACUGAGUCUGUCUGGGAAUAAUCUAGGAUGUUCAGGACGUGAACUGCUCACUGAGCUAAAGAAUUCUCCACAUUAUAAACUAAAGACACUGUGGUUUUGAGGAAAUUCCCAUUUCCAAUCAAAUAUCCGCUCUGAGUCCGGCUCCACACACUCUCCUCACGGACACUCUCCUCUUUCUCCACUGUAACUUGAGAAAUUCACCACAGUGUUCAUAAACUCCUCUGAUCUGAAUCACGCAGCAGAAACCACAGGGUCCUGAAGCAGAGAGCUCAGAGAGCUGACAGAGAGACACCGUUUGUGUUUCUUGUUAGACAUACUGAAUACAGACUGAUAGAUUAAUAAUUAUAGCUUUUUUAAGACAGGGUUUCAUAAAUGUUAAUGAUGACUGUAUUAAUUAUACACUAACUCUGUUAACUUGUAUAUAUGUAUGUAUAAGAUACUGUAAAAAACUAUUUUACAGCACAAUUUGAAUUUGUCUCAUAAUUGAUCACUAAUGUGAUGUUGAUGAAGCUCUAGUCUGAAUGGAGAUGAGAAUAUAGUAGUGCUGUAAUCAUAAAGUGUCUUUUCAAAGCUGUUGUGUAAGAAACUCCAUUUCCAUGUCAAAUAAUGUUUAUCAUUGGUUUUUAAAUGUAAACUGCAGACCUUCUACAACUAACAGCAUUUUAUUUUAUUUAAAAAUCACAUUUUGUGCCGUUGUCUAGUCUGAUUUGGCAUUAAUAUUACAAGAAAUCAGUGUUAUUCAUAUGUAAGCACAUAACAGUCUUUAGGUCUGUAGAAAUGAUGAUCAGCUCAUAUUGAACACAGAGAUCAACCCCAACACACAUCCAGGGACGUGCACAGACAUUUUGGGGGGCAGGGGCUCAAAUGGAAAAAAGGGCACUUCUCAUGAUUAUUUAUUUAAAAAAAUAAUAAACCCUUAAAUAUA